Molecule: transfer RNA, 77 nt
Filed under: Dehalococcoidia bacterium
Lineage: Bacteria; Bacillati; Chloroflexota; Dehalococcoidia
Also listed under: 1 other name
Description: tRNA-Trp
Rfam family: tRNA
About the family: Transfer RNA (tRNA) molecules are approximately 80 nucleotides in length. Their secondary structure includes four short double-helical elements and three loops (D, anti-codon, and T loops). Further hydrogen bonds mediate the characteristic L-shaped molecular structure. tRNAs have two regions of fundamental functional importance: the anti-codon, which is responsible for specific mRNA codon recognition, and the 3' end, to which the tRNAs corresponding amino acid is attached (by aminoacyl-tRNA synthetases). tRNAs cope with the degeneracy of the genetic code in two manners: having more than one tRNA (with a specific anti-codon) for a particular amino acid; and 'wobble' base-pairing, i.e. permitting non-standard base-pairing at the 3rd anti-codon position.
Source: RNAcentral
AGGGGUGUAGCUCAGUUAGGGAGAGCAGCGGUCUCCAAAACCGCAGGUCGGGGGUUCGAGUCCUCCCGCCCCUGCCA